AGAGUUUGAUCCUGGCUCAGGAUGGACGCUAGCGGCAGGCUUAACACAUGCAAGUCGAGGGGCAGCGGGGAGGAAGCUUGCUUUCUCCGCCGGCGACCGGCGCACGGGUGAGUAACACGUAUGCAACCUGCCCCUGUCAGGGGGACAACCCGCCGAAAGGCGGGCUAAACCCGCGUACAUGCCACCGGGGCAUCCCGGAGGCAGGAAAGGCUUCGGCCGGACAGGGAUGGGCAUGCGGCGCAUUAGGCAGUAGGCGGGGUAACGGCCCACCUAACCGACGAUGCGUAGGGGUUCUGAGAGGAAGGUCCCCCACACUGGUACUGAGACACGGACCAGACUCCUACGGGAGGCAGCAGUGAGGAAUAUUGGUCAAUGGUCGGGAGACUGAACCAGCCAAGCCGCGUGAGGGAUGAAGGUACAGAGUAUCGUAAACCUCUUUUGUCAGGGAACAAAGGCGGGGACGUGUCCCCGGAUGAGUGUACCUGAAGAAAAAGCAUCGGCUAACUCCGUGCCAGCAGCCGCGGUAAUACGGAGGAUGCGAGCGUUAUCCGGAUUUAUUGGGUUUAAAGGGUGCGCAGGCGGUCUGUUAAGUCAGCGGUCAAAGCCCGGGGCUCAACCCCGGCCCGCCGUUGAAACUGGCAGUCUCGAGUUGGAGAGAAGUAUGCGGAAUGCGCGGUGUAGCGGUGAAAUGCAUAGAUAUCGCGCAGAACUCCGAUUGCGAAGGCAGCAUGCCGGCUCCACACUGACGCUGAGGCACGAAAGCGUGGGUAUCGAACAGGAUUAGAUACCCUGGUAGUCCACGCAGUAAACGAUGAAUGCUGGCUGUCCGGGGGGGAUUGACCCCUGGGUGGCGAAGCGAAAGCGAUAAGCAUUCCACCUGGGGAGUACGCCGGCAACGGUGAAACUCAAAGGAAUUGACGGGGGCCCGCACAAGCGGAGGAACAUGUGGUUUAAUUCGAUGAUACGCGAGGAACCUUACCCGGGCUCAAACGGGGAGUGACUCAGGCAGAGACGCCUGUUUCCCACGGGACACUCCCCGAGGUGCUGCAUGGUUGUCGUCAGCUCGUGCCGUGAGGUGUCGGCUUAAGUGCCAUAACGAGCGCAACCCCCGCGUGCAGUUGCUAACAGAUAACGCUGAGGACUCUGCACGGACUGCCGGCGCAAGCCGCGAGGAAGGCGGGGAUGACGUCAAAUCAGCACGGCCCUUACGCCCGGGGCGACACACGUGUUACAAUGGGUGGUACAGCGGGAAGCCAGGCGGCGACGCCGAGCGGAACCCGAAAUCCACUCUCAGUUCGGAUCGGAGUCUGCAACCCGACUCCGUGAAGCUGGAUUCGCUAGUAAUCGCGCAUCAGCCAUGGCGCGGUGAAUACGUUCCCGGGCCUUGUACACACCGCCCGUCAAGCCAUGGGAGCCGAGGGCGCUUGAAGCGCGUCGCCGCGAGGCGCGCCCUAGAGCGAAAUCGGUGACUGGGGCUAAGUCGUAACAAGGUAACC
Molecule: ribosomal RNA, 1496 nt
Filed under: uncultured bacterium
Lineage: Bacteria
Description: 16S ribosomal RNA
Rfam family: Bacterial small subunit ribosomal RNA
Source: RNAcentral